GAUGAACGCUGGCGGCGUGCCUAAUACAUGCAAGUCGAGCGAACGGACGCGAAGCUUGCUUCUCUGAUGUUAGCGGCGGACGGGUGUGUAACACGUGGAUAACCUCCCUAUAAGACUGGGAUAACUUCGGGAAACCGGAGCUAAUACCGUAUGAUCUUUUGCACCGCAUGGUUCAAAAGUGAAAGACGGUCUUGCUGUCACUACUAGAUGGUUCCGCGCUGCAUUAGCUAGUUGGUAAGGUAACGGCUUACCACGGCAACGAGGCAUGACCGACGUGAGGGGGUGAUCGGCCACACGGGAAGGGAGACACGGACCAGACGCCUACGGGAGGCAGCAGUAGGGAAUCUGCCGCAAUGGGCGGAAGCCUGGCGGAGCAACGGCGAGUGAGUGGUGAAGGUCUUCGGAUCGGAAAACUCUGUUAUUAGGGGAGAACAGAUGUGGAAGUAAAUGUAGAGAUAGUGACGGUACCGAAUCAGAAAGCCCCGGCUAACUACGUG
RNAcentral lists this ribosomal RNA (497 nucleotides) under uncultured bacterium. RNAcentral's name for it is "partial 16S ribosomal RNA". It matches the Rfam family "Bacterial small subunit ribosomal RNA", at positions 28 to 507 of the family's 1533-position model. The record is from RNAcentral.